GACCUCGAAUCGGGUGGGACUACCCGCUGAACUUAGGCAUAUCAAUAAGCGGAGGAAAAGAAACUAACAAGGAUUCCCCUAGUAACGGCGAGUGAAGCGGGAAGAGCUCAAAUUUGAAAUCUGGCGGUCUCGCGGCCGUCCGAGUUGUAGUCUAGAGAGGCGUUAUCCGCGGCGGACCACGUACAAGUCCUUUGGGAUGCGGCAUCAUAGAGGGUGAGAAUCCCGUCCAUGACGUGGACUACCGUCGCUUUGCGUUGCGCCUUCGAAGAGUCGAGUUGUUUGGGAAUGCAGCUCAAAACGGGUGGUAAAUUCCAUCUAAAGCUAAAUACAGGCGAGAGACCGAUAGCGAACAAGUACCGUGAGGGAAAGAUGAAAAGAACUUUGGAAAGAGAGUUAAACAGUACGUGAAAUUGCUGAAAGGGAAACGC
This 428-nucleotide ribosomal RNA is filed under the name uncultured fungus. RNAcentral describes it as "eukaryotic LSU rRNA". It matches the Rfam family "Eukaryotic large subunit ribosomal RNA", at positions 1 to 422 of the family's 3401-position model. Lineage: Eukaryota; Fungi. The record is from RNAcentral.